This 434-nucleotide ribosomal RNA is filed under the name uncultured Lachnospiraceae bacterium. RNAcentral's name for it is "partial 16S ribosomal RNA". It matches the Rfam family "Bacterial small subunit ribosomal RNA", at positions 341 to 792 of the family's 1533-position model. Lineage: Bacteria; Bacillati; Bacillota; Clostridia; Lachnospirales; Lachnospiraceae. The record is from RNAcentral.
ACGGAAGGCAGCAGUGGGGAAUAUUGCACAAUGGGGGAAACCCUGAUGCAGCGACGCCGCGUGAGCGAUGAAGUAUUUCGGUAUGUAAAGCUCUAUCAGCAGGGAAGAUAAUGACGGUACCUGACUAAGAAGCCCCGGCUAACUACGUGCCAGCAGCCGCGGUAAUACGUAGGGGGCAAGCGUUAUCCGGAUUUACUGGGUGUAAAGGGAGCGCAGGCGGUUUUUUAAGUCUGAUGUGAAAGCCCGCGGCUCAACUGCGGGACUGCAUUGGAAACUGGAGAACUAGAGUGUCGGAGGGGCAAGUGGAAUUCCUAGUGUAGCGGUGAAAUGCGUAGAUAUUAGGAGGAACACCAGUGGCGAAGGCGAUCUACUGGACGAUAACUGACGCUGAGGCGCGAAAGCGUGGGGAGCAAACAGGAUUAGAUACCCUGGUA